GGUCUCGUAAUCUGCAGGCUGCAUCAUAAGUCAGGUGUUCAUAACCUGGGAAGAACCUGUCUGAUCUACUCCUCAGUUUUUUUUCUUCGAUCCUGCCGAAGGGUUUUGACCCGAAAUGUCAACUGUACUUUUCCCCAUAGAAGCUGCCUGACCUACUGAGCUUCCCCAGCAUCUUGCGUGUGUCGCUCGGAAUUCCAGCAUCUGCAGAUUUUUUGUUACUUCCACCACCUCCAACGGGAUCCCACUACCAAGCACAUCUUUCCCUCCCCCCCUUUCUGCUUUCCACAGGGAUCGCUCCCUAUGUGACUCCCUUGUCCAUUCUUCCCAAGCUGGAUGAGAGAAACCUUGAGGAUACAAAAUUUGUCCUCAUGCAUUUGCACCUCCAUAGACCAUUAACUGUGAACCUAUUUUGCAAAGGACUGGAGUUUUUCACCAAGUUCAAAGUAAAUUUAUUAUCUAAGUACAUAUAUAUGUCACCAUAUACAACCCUAAGAUUCAUUUUCUUGUGGCCAUUCACAGUAGAUACAAAAAAGAGCAAAAGAGUCAAUGGAAAACUGCACACAGGACAAACAACCAAAGUACAAAGGCAACAAACUGUGCAAAUAUAAAAAGAGAAAAAAAUAAUAACUAUUGAGAACGUAAAUUGUAGGGCCCUUGAAAAUGAUCAUAGAUAAUGAAAUCAGUUUAGUGGUGGAAUGAGUGAAAUUAUCCACUCUGGAAAACAAAUGGUUAAAUUCUGAAACUCGUGACAACUUACCGUGCAUCUCCUUGAGCCUUGAUGUUGCAGGUUGAAUUAAUUAAGAAUUUUAAUGUCAUAAAGAUUCCUUUAGUCAGCAGAUGUGGAGCAGUAAGCCACAAGCAAAGUGAUUUAUGUGAAAGCAUUCACAUUUCUUCAUGCACGGUGGAGCUGAGCUUUGAAAUGCUGCCUCCCCGAACGCUGUGACUUUGAAAUUCAUAGUUUUAUUACAAAGUAAAUCGAGAAUGGACAGACGGAGUUGAGAUACUGGCGAGUACUGGAAUGAAGGAAGGUUGGAGGAGCUGAAUGGCUCACUCAUGUGCAGAAUGGGAACUAAAUCAGGCUUCGGAAGUGAAAGCACUGUAGGUGAAGUCAACAAAGGGUUUACAGAAUCGAGGAGUGGCAGAGCUGCCAUGUGCCAUAGGUUUGCCACCCCUGCAGCAUCACAGCGGAUGCAAAACCAGCACCACAGUCGUUGCACUGAUCUGCAAUAUUGUACCCAGCUUUGUUUGGGAAUUACACCAAAGUGCUCAAAGACUUACAAACAGUGGUAUCUUUAAGAAGUAUAUUGGUUUCAUCACUCUGUAAGGUACACAGUGGUGAGUAUCCUGACUGGUUGCCUAGAGUGGAAAAAAUGACGUUCAGUAACAGAAAAGUCUACAAACAGUGAUGGACACAACCCAGUCCAGGCAUUGAGCACGUCUGCAAGGAGAGCUGCCACAAGAAAGCAGCAAAGACCCCCACCACCCAGGACAUGAUCUGCCAUCAGGAAGAAGGUACAGGAGCCCCAGGACACACAACACCAACACUUAUUAACCUUCAACCAUCAGGCUUCCGAACCAGUGUGGAUAACUUCACACACCUUAACUCUGAAUGGAUUCCACAACCUUUGGACUCACUUUCAAGCACUGCACAACUCAUGUUCUCAGUAUUUGUUUGUUUGUUUAUUUAUCUAUUUAUUAUUUAUGCAGUUUGUCUUCUUUUGCACAUUAGUUGCCAGUCUUUGUGUGUAAUUUUCCAUUGAUUCUGAUGUAGUUCGCCAUUGCACUGUGAAUGCCUGCAAGAAAAUAAAUCUCAAGGUGCAGUAGUAUAUGGUGACAUACGCAUACUCUGAUCAUAAAUUUACUUUGAACUUUGAACAGGUAAGUUCUAAUGAUGAAGGGUCUCAGCCCACAAUGUCGCUGUUUAUUCCUCUCCUGACUUUCUGAGUUCCUCCAGCAUUUUGUAUGGGCUGCUCAAGAUUUCUAACAUCUCUUGGGUGUUUAAGUUCUUAUUUGUCACAUCUGUAUGUUAUAUAAAGUGAACCAAACCUAAAAGUUAAUGUUUUAUUUUUAGUUAAUACUUGAGCUAUCAUUCAUCCAAUUGACUGUAAGGGGUUUCACAGCUGGUGAUGCUUGAUCUGAAGGAAUUUAUUCUUGUUUGAGAUAUUUUUCAUGACAUACUCCUGAGGAUGUUAUAUGCUCUUUGUGUUAUUUGACCUUCUAUCAGGGAGUGAACUUCCAAGUCCACCAGAGGGGUUGAGAAAUCAGCAAUGGAGAUGAAAUUUGCAGGAAUGUGGGAUGUUUCUCUGCAGCUGCAUGUAGGGCGUACAUCAGAUGUGGGAAGUUAUCAUUCUUUCAGUUGUCUGCAAAGAAUGAAAUUGAUGGAAAAUGCAGAUGUGAAUUUCCUGGUUUGUUGAGAAUAAAGCCAUGUUUCUCUUGGGCUUGCCAUGGGAUAUCUAAAGCAUGAAUAACAUACCAUUCCUUGUCUGGAAACAAGAAAAAAAUCAUCUCUUAACAAAUGAUUUCAAAUCAUUCAUUCUAUGUAAAAAUGGCUUGUAGCUACAACCAGAUCAGCUCCAGUUAUCGCUUCCUUUGUGUCUGAAUUUAUCGAUGUUACUUUAACAUUUUAGCCUAAGUAAAUUCUCAUUUAAUGUAUUCAAGUGUGUUCAAUACUAUGUACAUUGCAGAUUGAUCUGGGGAAGUGGUUAUCGUGCUUGGUUUGUUUAUAAACAUGUACAGAUGGAAAGAUAUGAAUCCAAUAGAUCAUGGCAGAACUUGACAGACUCAUGGAGUGUCUCUGUAAAUGUUUACAGGAUUUUAAAACUACAGGCAACUCACAUCGAUCUCAUUAACUGGCCCCAACUUCAAUGCUUGUCAAUGAUAAGCUCAUUUUAUACAAUGUAAGUAUGUUAUCAAACCUGUAAUGAAAGAUUAAGAUGAUAUUUGCUUAAAGUACAACAAGUACACAGUAUAAAUGUUCACAAUGAAUCUUGCCCCAUGAAGACAGAAUUCAAUACUUCUGGAAGAGUCAGAUAAAGUUUAUCAAGGUAUGAGGAUGAUGCACAUGGAUAGAAAGACUGAAUAAAGUUUGAAAUUAAAAUUGCUUUUAUUUUUAUUUGGAAUUAACUUUUUAAACAGUUACAUUUUUUGAACAAUUUUCAACUUCUGGAAAAAUUUCUGAACAUCAUGUGGAGAGCGACAAGACCUUAAUGCUGCACAGAACAUCAGGAGGGCAACUGGGAGGGUUUUUAUUGCCUGCUACCUGCAUCCUGGUCUCUGCUGACUAACUGUUCUGCCCAGUGGCAUGGCUGCAGCACCGAGGUGGACGGGGAGCUGCCUGGCUACAAAAGGUGCAUGUCACUGCAGACAUCACACAGGAAACGAAAGUGGGGCAGCAGUGCUCUCAAUUAGCAAUGAUGACGUUAUCAUAUGACUAUAAGACACAAGAGCAAACUUAGGCCACCAUUCUCCACCAUUCCAUCAUAGCUGAUUUCUUUUCCCUCACAACCCCAUUCUCCUGCCUUCCAUAUCCUUUGAUGCCCUUACUAAUCAUUUUAAUUUCCAUUUUAAAUAGACCCAAUGACUUGGCCUCCACAGUCAUCUGUGGCAAUGAAUUCCACAGAUUCACCAUCCUCAGGCCAAAGAAAUUCCUCCUCAUCUUUGUUCUAAAUGGAUGUCCCUCUAUUUUGAGGCUGUGCCCUCUGGUCCUAGACUCGCCCACUAUAGGAAAGAUCCUCUCUAUGUCCAACAACAACACACACAAAAUGCUGGUGGAACACAGCAGGCCAGUCAGCGUCUAUAGGGAGAAGCGCUGUCGACGUUUCGGGCCGAGACCCUUCGUCAGUAGUCUUGAUGCUGCCUGGCCUGCUGUGUUCCACCAGCAUUUUGUGUGUGUUGUUGUUUGAAUUUCCAGCAUCUGCAGAUUUCCUCGUGUUUGCUCUCUAUGUCCACUCUUUCUAGGUUUCAAUGAAAUCUCCCCUCAUUCUUCUAAACUCCAGCAAGUACAGGCCUAGAGCCAUCAAACGCUCCUCAAACAUUAACCCUUUUCUUCCAGAUAUUAUUCUUGUGAACCUCAUCUGGACCAAUUUAGCUCUUCUUAGAUAAGAUGCUCUAAACUGCUCACAAUGCUCGGUAAUGUCUGACCAAUGCCUUAUAAAGCCUCAGCUUUACAUCUUUGUUUUUAUAUUCUAGUCCACUCAAAUUGAAUGCUAAGAUUACAUUUGACUUCCUCACCACUAACUCAACCUGCAAGUUAACCUUUAAGAAAUGCUGCACAAGGACUCCCAAGUCAUUUACACCUCCUAUUUUUGAAUUUGUUCCCUGUUGAGAAAAUAGUCUACAUCUUUAUUCCUCCUACCGUCGUGCAUGACCAUACACUCUCUACACAUAUUCCAUCUGUCACUUCUUUGCCCAUUCCAUUCUCCCAUUCUUUCCAAGUCCCUCUGCAGACUCCCUGCUUCAUCAACAUUAUCUGCCCUUCCACCAAUCUUGGUUUCAUCUGCAAACUUGGUCACAAAGCCAUCAAUUUUAUCAACCAAAUCAUUAGCAAGUAACAUGAAGUGUAGUGGACCCAGCACCAACUCCUGUGGUACAUCACUAGUCACUGUUACCCAACCAGAACAAGCCCCCUUUAUUCCCACUCUUUGCCUUCUGCUCGUCUAUUGUGCUGGUAUCUUUCCUGUAAUACCAUGGGUUGUUUAUCUUUUUUGGCAGCCUCAUCUGUGGCACCAUGUCAAAGGCCUGAAACUCUGAGUGAACAAGAUCCACCGGCCAUCCCUUUUCUAUCCUGCCCAUUACUUCCUCAAAGAAUUCCAACAGUCAGGGAAGCCUUAAGGAAACCAUGCUGACUUUGGCCUACUUUAUCAUGUGCCUCCACAAUCAUAAUCAUAUCAUAAGCCUCGUCCUUACUAACAUAUUGCUUACCACUGGAGUCAGUUGAACUGGCCUCCAAGAUAUCAGUUGUGAAUGUUGCAGAUAGAUAGACCACUCUUGGAGUAUUGUCUGCAAUUCUGGUCACCAACUUACAGGAAGGAUAUGACCAAAAUAGAGAAGGUGCUGAAAGGAUUCAUUAGGAUUGGGCUGGGACUGGGUGGAGGGAGAGGGUGGAUAUGCUGGAGCAAUGAAGACUGAGGGAUGAACUUAUAGAAAUUAAUCAAAUCAUGAUGGAUAUAGAUGAGAGAGGUAGUCAUAGUCUUUUUCCCACAUUAAGGGAAACUAAAAUAGGAGGACAUAGGUGAGAUGGGAAAGACAUAAAGGGGAUCUAGGAAGCUUGCUUUUCAUACAGGGAGUGGUGGCUGUCUGAAAUGAGCUGGCAGAGGAAGAGAUAGUAUAUUAAGUCAGUAAAUGUUGUGUAUUUAAUAUUUCAGUAAUAUUUGAGUAACAUGUGUAAAUAUUACGUUAAUUUAACAUUCUUUGGUUAAAUAACUAAUUAUGGUUAUAUGUAGAAAUAUGUAAAUAACAUACAUUAUAACACUACCACGUGAUAUGUGCCGACCUCGCUUAAGGUAAAUUAAAGUUAGAGUUGCAUUCUGGGCUCCCUUGUUUUUCUUGCAAUUAGUUUUAUGUUUUGGAGUUACAGGGUCUAACAGUAAAAACUAAAUGAUGUUUAGAAAAAUCAAAUUCAGGGAAGAUAUCCUUCAAGGAAAGCUUCAGACUCCCUGCUGGAUUUAAGGACUGAACAGCGAAAGGAAUAACAAUUCUUUGCAACAUAAUGAAAGAAGGAACACUGGUCAGUUUUGAAAUGCUCAAAGAGAAACACUUGUUAGAAAAACAAGAUUUUUAUCGGUAUUUACAGAUGUGACAGUAUGUUAAUAGGACGGUUAAAAAUGUAAGCUAGGCAAAUAUAUGCUUGAUAGAGCUAUUUAGAAAAGCAUAUAAUUCAGAUAAUGGUAGUAGAAUCAUUUCAAGCGUGUAUAAGGGUUUGUCAAAUCUUGAAACACAUUCGACUUCAUACAUUAAAACAUAGAAGAAGGAAGAGGGAUAAUUGUAUCUGAGAAAAUGGACAAUAAUAGGGAGGUAUCAAUGGAAGUGUACCAGUUCACAGAAAUGGAGGGAGUUUGGAAAAACUUGAUAAGAUAUUUUAUUACACACUCUCAGAAAUCCCGUCAUGAUAGUAACAUCCCUGUUUGCUGGAGAAGUUGUGGAAAUCAAAAUGCAAACCAUUAUCAUAUUUUCUGGGAAUGCCCCGUUAUCAAAAACUAUUGGAGGAGGAUACACAAUGCCCUACACAACAUCUUUAAAUGUGAUAUACCCUUGGAAGACCAUAUAUUUUGGAUAUAUACUUCAAGAAUGGUUGAAAAGAGAUAAAUAUUUAAUGAAUAUGCUGUUGGUGGCUGGUAAAAAGGCCCUUACCAGGAAAUGGUUAUCACAGGAGAGCCCAACCUUAAAUACGUGGAUGGAAAUUACAACGGACAUUUAUCAAAUGGAGAAGAUAACAGCAGCUGUUAAUCAUAAGCUGAAACAGUUUGAUUCAUACUGGGUAAAAUGGUUUAACUACAUAAUGCCUCAUAGGCCUGAUUUUAUUCUCACAAGUCAAUGAAUAUGUUGUAAAAAGAACGAUCACUCCCUACUUGUAUAAAGUUUUCUUAUUUCGAUUAUUCUUUCUCUCCUGUCCUUUCUAUGAGUGUAUACCUCAGAUAAUUAUUAUGUGGAGAUUUGUGACAAAUAUAAUUAUGUGAUAUAUAUGUACAGUAUCUGAAAUACAUUUUAUGGAAAUGUUUAUAUGAUGAUAAAAAAAAUAAAUUACAAAAAAAAGAAAGCUUCAGACUUCCAAUUAAAGCUAUUAUAAUGUAAUUGGUUGAAUAAGCCAGCAGAUGGCGCCAAAACACCGGUCAGGCAAUGCAGAACAGGCAAUCAAUUAGAAAGAAAAUAGGGACACAAGAGAUUCUGCAGAAGCUGGAAAUCUCGAGCACUAUAGAGAGGAAUAAAGAGUUGAUGUUUUGGAACAAACCGUCUAGAUCCAAAAUAGUUACUGCUUAUUUCCCUCCAUAGAUUGCUGUCUGACUUGCUGAGUUCUUCUAGCAUGUGUGUUGCUGAGAAAGAAACUAGAAAAUCUGUCUCUUUUGAAGAUAGGGUGACCAGACAUCUUCGAUUAGUGAGGCAAAUAACCCAACCUAGUCCUGUGUUGAGUGAGUGUAGUACUGCAUUUAUCCCACAUCCUGGGUCUGCACGGUAGUGAAGGGCAGUGUAAUGGGUGACAGAUGACACAUACUGUUCAUAAUAGAAACUGUUCUUCAUAAUUCACAGGCAUCGUCUCUGAGUUCUGUUCACUUUAAGGGACAGUUUCUGACAUAAUGACUGAUUUUGGUUUGUUCGUGAUGGAAGUUAAGGGCUGUGGCAUUUGCUAUGCACAUUAAAUGACUCUCGCAUGUUUUAUUCACUAAAACCUAUGGCAGGGUAGUGGUUUGUGUGACUGAUCAGGGUUCAAUUCCCACACUGUCAGUUUAUUCUCCCCAUGACUGAGAGGUUUUCCUCUGUGCUCUACAGCUUCCUCCCACAUUCCGAAGACGUACAGUCAGGGUUAAUAAGUUGUGGGCAUGCUGUGUUGCUGAUUUGAUUUGAUGUAAAGGAUGCAUCUCACUGUAUGUUUCAAUGUAUGUGUGACAAAUAAAGGAAAUCUUUAAAACCUUUAAAUCUUUACAGUCUUUAUAGGCUUUGUAGCACUGUUCCCUCUAAGCUGUGCGGAGGUACAGCCAUGCAAUAACUGAAAUGCUUCCACACACAUAGCCUUUUUUACGGUACAGUUGGAAUUUUCUUUUAUAUAAUAUUAAUAUAAUUUUGAAAUUAUGCUCAUAUAAUUUUGAAAUCUAUACUUUAAUAUACAGUAAUUGUGA
Hypanus sabinus (Atlantic stingray) is the source of this 7829-nucleotide long non-coding RNA. RefSeq lists it as uncharacterized. The record is from RefSeq and is a predicted model, not a curated record. Lineage: Eukaryota; Metazoa; Chordata; Chondrichthyes; Myliobatiformes; Dasyatidae. The transcript has 3 exons.